Molecule: ribosomal RNA, 460 nt
Filed under: uncultured bacterium
Lineage: Bacteria
Description: partial 16S ribosomal RNA
Rfam family: Bacterial small subunit ribosomal RNA
Source: RNAcentral
CCUACGGGUGACAGCUGUGAGGAAUAUUGGUCAAUGGACGAGAGUCUGAACCAGCCAAGUAGCGUGAAGGAUGACUGCCCUAUGGGUUGUAAACUUCUUUUAUAUGGGAAUAAAAUGUUCCACGUGUGGGAUUUUGUAUGUACCAUAUGAAUAAGGAUCGGCUAACUCCGUGCCAGCAGCCGCGGUAAUACGGAGGAUCCGAGCGUUAUCCGGAUUUAUUGGGUUUAAAGGGAGCGUAGGUGGAUUGUUAAGUCAGUUGUGAAAGUUUGCGGCUCAACCGUAAAAUUGCAGUUGAAACUGGCAGUCUUGAGUACAGUAGAGGUGGGCGGAAUUCGUGGUGUAGCGGUGAAAUGCUUAGAUAUCACGAAGAACUCCGAUUGCGAAGGCAGUUCACUGGACUGCAACUGACACCGAGGCUCGAAAGUGUGGGUAUCAAACAGGAUUAGAUACCCCAGUAGUC